Long non-coding RNA from Equus quagga, 759 nucleotides. RefSeq lists it as uncharacterized. Lineage: Eukaryota; Metazoa; Chordata; Mammalia; Perissodactyla; Equidae. The record is from RefSeq and is a predicted model, not a curated record. The transcript has 3 exons.
CGGGAGACAGACAAUGAGCAAGAAAUCACUCCAGUGACGCUCGAGAGGAUUUCCUGGGAAACGGGGGUGGCGAUAACAGAACUGCGUGAGGACCAGACGGACGAGUCCUCCCAGUGCUCGGCCUGGGGCUGGUGCGGCGGAAUCAGAGCAGCUGGAUACAGUCAGCAGACGUCCGCGGAGGACGAGGACACCCUGAAAUCCUGAAUGCUCGUGGAGUUUGCAGACAGGACCUCAGAGCUGGUGGAGGAAGACCCAGGCCAGUCACAGGAUUCACGGGGGCCCCGAGAGAAGCCGCUGAGCCACCACAGCCCCAGUCUAACGCCCUCUGCCGAGAAGGAGGUGUGGUUCUGUGUUCCGCUUACACAGCACUUUUUGGGGGCUCGUCCCCGUUGCCGUGGCCUCUCCACCUCACAGGCUCCAGGGACUGCCACCGGCCAGGAGUCUUGCUUCGUCAACCUUUUCCUUCAUUGUGAACUUGUAUGCUCCUGUCCUGCUGGAUUCCUCGUUCCGAGCCUCCCGGCAUAAGAGUCUCGGCCAACCCUUGAAAGGUGCUCUUUCUCUGUGGCCCUCAGCUUAGCGAGUAAGCCCCUCCAGCAGGACCAUCACACCCCUGCUGCACAGAGACCCAGCAGCGGAGGGAGGCAGCAGCAGUGCUGCCCUGGUCCCGUCCACAAACCCUGGGAGAGGUAAGAAAGCCCCGCAAACUGCACAUGGAUCCUACAACAGCAGCCUCGAAACCACCUGUGAUUAAACCAAGAU